Molecule: ribosomal RNA, 1554 nt
Filed under: Salmonella enterica subsp. enterica serovar Thompson
Lineage: Bacteria; Pseudomonadati; Pseudomonadota; Gammaproteobacteria; Enterobacterales; Enterobacteriaceae
Also listed under: 3 other names
Description: bacterial SSU rRNA
Rfam family: Bacterial small subunit ribosomal RNA
Source: RNAcentral
UUAAAUUGAAGAGUUUGAUCAUGGCUCAGAUUGAACGCUGGCGGCAGGCCUAACACAUGCAAGUCGAACGGUAACAGGAAGCAGCUUGCUGCUUCGCUGACGAGUGGCGGACGGGUGAGUAAUGUCUGGGAAACUGCCUGAUGGAGGGGGAUAACUACUGGAAACGGUGGCUAAUACCGCAUAACGUCGCAAGACCAAAGAGGGGGACCUUCGGGCCUCUUGCCAUCAGAUGUGCCCAGAUGGGAUUAGCUUGUUGGUGAGGUAACGGCUCACCAAGGCGACGAUCCCUAGCUGGUCUGAGAGGAUGACCAGCCACACUGGAACUGAGACACGGUCCAGACUCCUACGGGAGGCAGCAGUGGGGAAUAUUGCACAAUGGGCGCAAGCCUGAUGCAGCCAUGCCGCGUGUAUGAAGAAGGCCUUCGGGUUGUAAAGUACUUUCAGCGGGGAGGAAGGUGUUGUGGUUAAUAACCGCAGCAAUUGACGUUACCCGCAGAAGAAGCACCGGCUAACUCCGUGCCAGCAGCCGCGGUAAUACGGAGGGUGCAAGCGUUAAUCGGAAUUACUGGGCGUAAAGCGCACGCAGGCGGUCUGUCAAGUCGGAUGUGAAAUCCCCGGGCUCAACCUGGGAACUGCAUUCGAAACUGGCAGGCUUGAGUCUUGUAGAGGGGGGUAGAAUUCCAGGUGUAGCGGUGAAAUGCGUAGAGAUCUGGAGGAAUACCGGUGGCGAAGGCGGCCCCCUGGACAAAGACUGACGCUCAGGUGCGAAAGCGUGGGGAGCAAACAGGAUUAGAUACCCUGGUAGUCCACGCCGUAAACGAUGUCUACUUGGAGGUUGUGCCCUUGAGGCGUGGCUUCCGGAGCUAACGCGUUAAGUAGACCGCCUGGGGAGUACGGCCGCAAGGUUAAAACUCAAAUGAAUUGACGGGGGCCCGCACAAGCGGUGGAGCAUGUGGUUUAAUUCGAUGCAACGCGAAGAACCUUACCUGGUCUUGACAUCCACAGAACUUUCCAGAGAUGGAUUGGUGCCUUCGGGAACUGUGAGACAGGUGCUGCAUGGCUGUCGUCAGCUCGUGUUGUGAAAUGUUGGGUUAAGUCCCGCAACGAGCGCAACCCUUAUCCUUUGUUGCCAGCGGUUAGGCCGGGAACUCAAAGGAGACUGCCAGUGAUAAACUGGAGGAAGGUGGGGAUGACGUCAAGUCAUCAUGGCCCUUACGACCAGGGCUACACACGUGCUACAAUGGCGCAUACAAAGAGAAGCGACCUCGCGAGAGCAAGCGGACCUCAUAAAGUGCGUCGUAGUCCGGAUUGGAGUCUGCAACUCGACUCCAUGAAGUCGGAAUCGCUAGUAAUCGUGGAUCAGAAUGCCACGGUGAAUACGUUCCCGGGCCUUGUACACACCGCCCGUCACACCAUGGGAGUGGGUUGCAAAAGAAGUAGGUAGCUUAACCUUCGGGAGGGCGCUUACCACUUUGUGAUUCAUGACUGGGGUGAAGUCGUAACAAGGUAACCGUAGGGGAACCUGCGGUUGGAUCACCUCCUUACCUUAAAGAA